RNAcentral lists this long non-coding RNA (409 nucleotides) under Prunus persica (peach). RNAcentral describes it as "long non-coding RNA (PPER_LNC004407)". The record is from RNAcentral. Lineage: Eukaryota; Viridiplantae; Streptophyta; Magnoliopsida; Rosales; Rosaceae.
GAUGAUAUGUGAAUGAAGAUGUGAAAAAUAGAUGUUUUGGAUCGUGUAAAAAAAAUUUGUAGGGUACCCUGAAGGGUGUCCCUCAAUAAAAGGGGAAUAUAUAUAUAUCUCCCAGGUUGCCCUUGCCUUGUUGGGACUGUCACCGUAUUCAUCUAUUUUGUUGUUUCCAAUUAGAUGUCUUAAUGAUUUUCACCUGGGUUUGGAUUGUUAUAAAAAAAAAUAUAUAAAAAAACAAAAAAAACUGCAGGGGAUCCUAAUGGCUUAAAUAAAAUUGAAUUUCAUUAAGGCAUCUAAUUUGGACCAACAAAUGAACACAAUGCUUCAAGAAAAUACUAUAAUAACAACCAUCUAAUUGAGUGGUCAAAUGGUUUCGGAUUCAAUUUCAUUUUUUGCAAAGAUGAUCUUUGAG